Molecule: ribosomal RNA, 253 nt
Filed under: uncultured bacterium
Lineage: Bacteria
Description: partial 16S ribosomal RNA
Rfam family: Bacterial small subunit ribosomal RNA
Source: RNAcentral
UACGUAGGUGGCAAGCGUUGUUCGGAAUUACUGGGCGUAAAGGGCGCGUAGGCGGCCUGCUAAGUCGAACGUGAAAUCCCCGGGCUUAACCCGGGAACUGCGUCCGAUACUGGUGGGCUUGAAUCCGGGAGAGGGAUGUGGAAUUCCAGGUGUAGCGGUGAAAUGCGUAGAUAUCUGGAGGAACACCGGUGGCGAAGGCGGCAUCCUGGACCGGUAUUGACGCUGAGGCGCGAAAGCUAGGGGAGCAAACGGG